GGGCGAAAACUUUGCAAUGCGGGAAACCGUGACAGGGGAACUCCGAGUGCCCGUAAAAUCGGGCUGUCCAUCAGUUUAAAUAACUGGUGAAGAAAGGGCCGGGCAAGACCGGUGCCAGCCGCCGCGGUAAUACCGGCGGCUCGAGUGGUGGCCACUAUUACUGGGCUUAAAGCGUUCGUAGCUGGUUUGUUAAGUCUCUGGGGAAAUCUUCCGGCUCAACCGGAAGGCGUCUCAGGGAUACUGGCAGACUAGGGACCGGGAGAGGUGAGGGGUACUCCAGGGGUAGGAGUGAAAUCCUGUAAUCCUUGGGGGACCACCUGUGGCGAAGGCGCCUCACCAGAACGGCUCCGACAGUGAGGGACGAAAGCUGGGGGAGCAAACCGGAUUAGAGACCCUGGUA
This 400-nucleotide ribosomal RNA is filed under the name uncultured bacterium. Its description in RNAcentral is "bacterial SSU rRNA". It matches the Rfam family "Archaeal small subunit ribosomal RNA", at positions 339 to 743 of the family's 1478-position model. The record is from RNAcentral.